UGGGUAUAGAGAGUACAACGGGGGGAGAGAGAGAGAGAGAUGAUGCCAGGACGAGGAAGGACAUCGACAAGGGGAACAGAGGCGACGGACUACUCGAGUGUCAACGAUUUGGCAACGGCUUUUUUAUAGCUUUCGUUGAGAUAGCUCGUUUCAAAGUCGCGUGGCACAAGGCAUAAUCGUUUGGGUAUUUCAUAAAGAAAUUAAAUGAGUAUGAAAUUAAAAAGAAACGAAGGAGCGAUCGAAAAAAUAAGAUCGACUUGUCGUGGAUCGAUCGAUCUAUCGACGAAAUCUUAUUGCGAUACUCGGACCUGUACGAGAGAAAACUGAUAACUACGCGGCAGUCUGGAAGUAUUAAGGAAGAGAGACAAAGAGGGGUGAUAGCGCGGAGGAAGGGAGAGCGGAGCGAUGGACGAGGAAUAAAGAGAGGGGGGAGAAAGAGAGUAAACUGGGUCAGUGUCGUGGAACUUGAAAACUUCACUUCCGUAAUGCGAGAGCGGCGCUGACUGCCGCCUCGAAGUCGCUUAAACUGCGUUUACGAGUCAACGGGAAGGAGAAGCCAACAAGGAUGACGAUAACGAAGACUCGAUCGAAGGGGAAGAAGCACGAAGCGCAAUACGCGUGAACAGAGGGACGCACCACGCGUGUGCGUCCUCUCUCUUUCUCUCUCUCUCUAUAUAUAUAUAUAUAUAUAUGUACGUAUCUCCAUCUCAUUCACUCUUCUUAGCUUUUGUCUUUUUCCUUUUCCCGAGCAACACGCGCUGCGCGUACUGCCCGUCCGUUGACGUAGAUAAACCGUCGCCAACGAUGCUAUAUUUACGAUCUUUCUUAUAACGAGUGCGUGGAUAUUCCGAGGAAAUACGAAGAGUCUUUCUCUCUCUCUCUCUCUAUGGUGUAAAAAGAUAGAAAGAGAAAAGAAUCGCUUGCCGUUCUCUGCCGCCGAACGACGAGCAUUCUCGUUACGUAACAUUUUACCAUUCUCGUUUCAUCUUCUUGUUAUCUGAUUUUUUUUCCUCUCUUUUUCCUUCUUUUCUCCUUCUCUCGUACAUAUCCGUAGACGAAAUAGAAAAAAAAGAAAAAGAAAUAAACGACUCGGAAAAGAUACCGAGAGGAGAGAUAAUCGAUCGAGAAUUACUCUCGUUAAAAACUAUUUUAUCACGCGUACGUUUUAUAAAGAGGCUGAAACUGGAAAGAGAGAGAGAGAGAGAGAUACUGAUUCAAAUAACCUGUGUUAUACGUAUAUCCAAAAGCAGCGGUUGAGAAUUCGCGGUUCGCGAAGCAAACACCGAAGGUCUCUCUCUCUCUCUCUCUCCAUCCAGUGGUCUCGUUUUCUCGUUUAAUAACCGGUAGGAGGAAGAGACCGGGGGAGUUAGGAGCGAAGAGGAGUACAAGGAGGAAGAGAAAGAUCGUUCGACCGGCAGAGUACGUAGCGCGAGAAGAAGGAAAGGAGAGUUCGUUCGCGCUUACGUAGACGCAACGCGCCGCGCACGUAAGCCUGAAAACACGGGUGGUAGUGCUCUCUCUCUCUCUCUCUCUCUUUCUUACUCUGCUCUUCUCUUGGCUCUCCUCUCGUUUCUACGCCCCUCUUUAGGUCGCGCGCGCGACCGUUCGAUCCUUUGCGUCGUCGUUGUGUCGUCGGCGUCGUCGUCGUCAGCGACAACGACUACGACAACGACGACGACGACGACGACGACGACGACGACGACGACGACGAGGACGGCGACGGCGACGAUGACGACGACGACGAGGUGCGAGGUGGAGAGCGUAGAUGGAGGGUGACCGACGUGGUCGUAGGGAGAGAGAAAGGAGAGAGAGAGAGAGAGAGAGAGAAGUGGAAGAAGGAUAGGAAGGGCCGUUAUUUAGCCGGCCGCGCGCACGGCCCUUCGCGACCCACCGUCCUCCGCUCGCCCUCCAGAGUGGCUCCCACCUUCACCCUUCGUUCGCCCUUCUCUUCCUACUCGUAAACCUUCUCUCUUACCCCCGCGUUCACCCUCGCGUCUCCUUCAAUCUCUCUUUCUCUCUCCCUUGCGCCCACGGUCGCUGCCGUUCUUCGGGAUGUGGCAGGAUGCGGUGCGGUGCGACGCUGCGGGGCGGCAGACUCACGGCUGCUCUUCACGACUCCCUCUCUAUCUCUCCCUCUCUCUCUCUCUCUCUCUCUGUCGUUCUCUCGCGUUUCUCUUCUACGCUUCACUCCACCUCCUCUCCACGUCACUCUAUAGCACGGAAAAGCUCGCCCGGCUCGUCGUCCACGAACGGAACGGAACGGAACGAAGCGAAGCGAGUCUGUGACGUUGGCUGUCCGUCGUUCGGCGAAAUCCCGUGCUAAUUAAAGCCCGCCUCGAUGCCCGUCUCCGACCGGGGCGACAGAGCCGACGGCUAUCUCCCUCUAUCUCUCUCUCCUUCUCUCUCUCUCUCUCUCUCUCUUGCUCUAACACUCUCUCGCUCCCUUUGCGAAUGGCCGCACGAAGGAGAGAAAAUUAAGAAGACUCUGGGUCGGCUCCUUCGGCCUAUUGUGCCUUGCGAUGGUUGAGAGAGACGAAGAUGGAGAGUGGUAGUCCUCGUAACGGUACCAGACCGUCAAACUUUUCUUCCCUCUCCCUCCCUCUCUCUCUCUCUCUCUCUCUCUCGCUUCGUUCGCCUUUCUGCAUUACGCACGACGUCCGACCAAGAGAUAAAUUUGUGCUGGAUUUUAUCUAGAUACAUUCCUCGCACGAACUUUUCGGACUCACGACGGUUCACGUUGAUCUUUCUUAUUCUCUCCUCUCUCUUUUGUUUCUUUUUGUAUUCGUCAUCUAUCCAUCCGUCUCUCUUUCUCUCUCUCUCUCUCUCUCUCUCUGUAUUUCCCUGUAGGCCAAUCGAAGUGAAAACUAUAGACGCGUUAAAUACGAGGAUAGGAAGUGUUUCUGGCUUGCUCGUCCGUAUAGCGUUUAAAUAGUUUUUCUUUUCUUCCUUUGUCUUAAGGAGCCAUUUAAACUACCGAUCAGCUGACAAUGCCGACGUUUCACCGUUGCCUCGUAGGCAUUCUUGAAAAUUGUAUACAAUAUAUGCGUACUCGUAGAACAAUAUUUAGGUAUAUGUUUACUUUCGAAAAACAGGCCUUUCGACUUUGCGCGCUUUUUUCUUUUGUUUGUUUUUUUUUCUAUUUUACGAAUCAGUGCACGAUUCGUAAGAUAUUGCGACGAGUUCCUAGUUCGAUUGGUCCUCGUUGACGCCUUGUUUUUUUCAAAAGUACCAUCGGCUCGAUAACGAUAUAUCUAAUCUUUGUUUCGGAUACAUUCGUAUUCGUUCGAGUCCAAUUCCGUAAACAAAGCGUCGUCACGAAGGACGCGAUAAUAAAGAGCAAGCACGUUGGAUUUCCAGUCGGCCGAAAACUCAUUGUUUUAUCAUAUUUACUUUUUAUAUUUUCCAUCCAUCCAAUUCGUAUAUAUUGAGAUUAGGAUAAGAGCGCGAGCUUGGUAGAGAAUUAAUUUCUCCUUAUAAAAAUGCUCUUAAUAAUCCUUCUCCAUUUUCUUUUUUUCCUUUUUUUUAUAACUACGAAUACAUUUUUCCUCGCUAUAAUAUAUUGGCCGAGAUAAUACGAGUAUACUAGUGGUGCGCGUGCUCGUUAAAAGCAGAUUUGUAUAUGGCUAUGGUUCACGAGGUUAUUCGCGCGAACGGAAAGGGAACGCACGUGAAACUGUAAACACGACCUUGCGACUUUACGGUCGUUUGCGAAGUCGUUCCACGUAUCUCUCUUACUCUUUCUCUCCUGCUCUCGCGGAAAUACGCAUAUCUCUUUUUUCUUCUUUCUUUUUCAAUUAAUUUCUCACCGUUAUAUCAUACUUUGUGAUAAACUAAUUGAAUUUUACGAUAACGAACUUCAUUGACGAUUUGGACCUUGGAAAUAAGUAGUUGCUCGUUCUCUCUCUCUCUCUCUCUCUCUCUGCCCCUUUCACCCUUUCUCUCGUUUUUCUUUCCUUUCUAUUCCCUCGACGGUAACCUCGUCAUGAAUUCCGAGAGAGCUGAGUAAUGUUAGUUCCAAUUCGUCAAUUAACCAAACGAAAUUUUUCCUCCGAGCGCAGAAGCGUCCUAACCCUAAAGGGGAUCGCAUAGGAGAAACGGCGACGUAAUACACGGCUUUCUCUCGCGUGAAAUUUAAAGGCGUUCGUGUCUCUCUCUCUCUCUCUCUCUCUCUCUCUCUCUCUCUUUUUCUUGCCCUCUCACGUUUCCUCUCGUGAGAGAGGACCAGGCCCUCGAUCGAUCCAAGCCCGCAUAGUCGUGAGCGUACAGAAGCCUUCUUGUUUGUCGGCGGCAACGCUGGCCAGCCGUUGAGGAAAAAGUUUUUAUUGCUUGGAUUUUCCCCAUAAUCUUGAGUAAUUAACGGGCAACCCUGAGGCCCAUACUUCGAGGUCCGUGCAAAAUUGUAAGGAAAGUGAGAUUAAGAGAAAGGACAGAAUAAAAGAGAGAGAGAGAGAGAGGCCCUUCUACCGAAAACCUAAAGUCUUCCCAUAUUUUUCUUUUUUGUUCUUCUUCUUCUUCUAUUCCUCUUUCUCCCUCACAACACCCUUCCCUCUUUCUCGAGUAGAGACGCGAGCUAGCCGUCGCGACUAACGAUUCUCCACCGUAUUUUCUUCCCUCCUACCCUUCUCUUUCUCUUCAUCGUUCCCUGGCCGCUUCUCUCUUUCUCUCUCUCUCUCUCUCUCCUAGUCUGGCUUAUUCUAGAGAGGAGAGAGUCUAGACCCUCCUUUUCUUCGUCGUCGACUUAACGGCCGCACCUGCCGCUGCUACCAUCGAGUGACGUCGUUUCGACGACGACGACGACGACGAGGAGAAAUGUUCGAUCCACGUGAAUACUUUUCGAGGUUGGCAAAAAAAAGAAGCGGAGAAACAUCUAUACUCCUCUUAAGAUUUUGUAUCGAAUGAUCCGAUCAUUCGUCAUUAUAUGUAUCUCAUGGAUAAGAAAUAAGGGAGUAUUUAGUUCCUUUCGAUUACCAUCGUAGUAAUCGAUAUUACGAAUACAAGUGUCGAUGAAGUGGGAUACAUUACGAUGGUUCGUAAAAGAAAAAAAAUGUAUAUUUAUUUGUAUCGUUACGACGAGAGAAAUAAAAGGAAAUGAAAUAAAGUUAGAUCGAUCGGAUAAUACCGGCUUUACUAAAUACUUAUGAACUUUUCGUCGUAAAGUCGGCUUUCGCCGAUCACGUGUAUUUAAAAUCGAUCGAAUUAAAAGAAUACCGAUUAAGAUUCCCAGCUCGUAAUCAAGCCGACCUUUCAUGAUAAAUUAAUUGCUAUUUCGGAGUGCCGUUAGAGCGCGUGAGCGUAAAAAUAGCUUUGGAUUGGUCGUCUCUUAGCUCGUGAUACGAAAGACGAGCCAGAGAAGUAGGUUUUCGACGUGAUCAAUCGAUCGCGCAUCAAUUACCAAUUACGAAUCGCGCUUGUGUACGCAUAGAAAUUUCAUUCGAGAUUUCAUUCGAGAUUCGUCGUAUCUACCUAUUUGCGUUCUACGACCUAGGAAUAUCUUUGAGAUUCGACUAGAUUCUCUUUCUCUCUGGUCGUACAAAGUCCGCCAAUUCGAUCGAUAAGUAAUUUCAGUGCGUUUAAGUUUCCGCGAAACGAGCCGUUCGAAGCUUUCUAAUCGCGAACACGCGAAUUUAUGAUCUUUCGGGUCGUACCUGCCGCUGCCGCCGCCGCUGCCGCUGCCGCCGCCGUGUAGCCGCGCCAUUUCCGGCGCGCAUGCCUUCCAGCGAGCAACGUAGCUUUCGUGAGAGAGCGCUCUCUCUCUCUCUCUCUCUCUCUCGCUAGUCGCUCGUUCGCUCGCUCUCUCGCCAUCGCCCUCCGCACCGGGAAGGGCAAGAUCGGAAAAUUAACGACCCCUCGAGCGUUAACUCCCGACUCCAGGUCGGCCUUCGGUCCGCUCCUUCGUUAAGUCCUUCCUCGGCUUCUCGCGACUCACGCAGCGUUUUAAGCCGUCCCCGUCUCUUCCCUGUCCCCCCUAUUUUACCACCACCGGCCCCUCCCCCCGACUCCACGUUCUCCUCCUCUUUCUUCCCACCGCCCGACCCCCCUCCUCAUUCCACCCAUAACCCUUCUCACCGCGACCUCCUACGCCGUGGCAAGCCACCCUCCUCUACGCCCGCUUCUCCUCGGCAUCGCCACGAACGCGCUACCCUUCGAGCUACGAAUCGCAGAUUGGUGGAACGACCGGUCGAUUAUCUAUAAUCGAUGCCGCCACUGCCGUCGCCAUCACCGCCAGCGAAGUCGUCGCUCUACGUGCUCCUUCUCUCUCUCUCUCUCUCUCUCUCUCUCUCUCUCUCUCAGCUACGCCUUCUGCGAACGAUGGAGCCGCUAUUCUAUCCACGUCACUGGAUUCUUAGCGAAUAUUUUUUUCCUUUUCUUUUUUCUUCUUUUUCUUUUUUCUUUUCCUUUCUUUUGCUAUUCUCUACAUGAACUAUAAUAAAGGAAACGAAAGGUACUCGAUCGCGAAAAACUUUGGGCUCGUUUGUUAAGAAAAAUCGAAACCUACCCAUAGAAUUUUACCUGUUCAGAGCCGGAGCAGGUAGAGAAGAUCGACGUGGAAAGUUUAAUAACGCGCAAAUCGAUUUUAUCGAACUUCCGAAGUACCUACACUCUUUCCGGUUUCCAAAAAUUUUCCUACCGUUCUUGGAUUCUUUUUUGUACUUUUUCACCGACUCGUUCAUUCGAAGGAUUCGUUCUUUCGAUCCAACGAAAUAUCGCCUCGUUGAAGAGGAUGAGAGAAAGAGAGAGAGAGACUAUAGAUUUAACCAAUUGAAAUUCUCAUUUCGCAUUCCGCCGCACAUUAUGUCGCGUAUUACCCAGUUCGACCAGUGAUACGAAGAGAAACGUAUAAAGAGAAUUGGGGAGACAUAGAAACGGAAGAUGAAGUGGAGAGGAGAAAAAGAUGGCCAGCUUAAACCCGAGAGUUCGAAAGAGACGAAGCAAUGUGUGCGAAAAAGAGUAUACGAGCGCGAAUGUGAAAAGGCAAGAGGAAGACAGAGAGGGAAGAGGUUUGUGCCAUCGCUCAUUCGACGAUUAUUGUACAAAGCAUAGCGCGGAAACUAUCUUUCCUCUUCAUUCAUAACUCUUUCUAGCGUAAUAGAGGGUCGCCAGGGUGAGAGAAAGUAAGAAGAAAGUAAACGAUAUACGUAUAGAUAGAUGGUAUGCCACAGGCAGUGGAAAGGAGAUAUGACGAGACGACGAGUCGAAGAAAAGGAGACUGAAAGAAGAGUGCAUUUUAUGAGCGAGUGAAUAAGAGAGAAAGGGUAUACUGAACCAAAGAAAGGGUAGA
This is a long non-coding RNA of Vespa crabro (European hornet), 7279 nucleotides long. RefSeq lists it as uncharacterized. The record is from RefSeq and is a predicted model, not a curated record. The transcript is spliced from 3 exons. NCBI's taxonomy places the organism in Eukaryota, Metazoa, Arthropoda, Insecta, Hymenoptera, Vespidae.